RNAcentral lists this long non-coding RNA (1711 nucleotides) under Salmo salar (Atlantic salmon). RNAcentral describes it as "lncRNA (ENSSSAG00000107558.1)". Lineage: Eukaryota; Metazoa; Chordata; Actinopteri; Salmoniformes; Salmonidae. The record is from RNAcentral.
CCGGUCCUGUACACUACUACGCCAAUGAACUCAGUCCAGCAGUGUCGCACCAACACAUCCACACCAGACGACAAGGACAAAAGGAAUACACACCAAACCUUUUACCGGCAAAGAGGGGAGAGCCAGAAGGGUCCAAGUAGGAACCCUUCCCCCUUUACCUUCACACACCUCCCACCUACUUCAAAGCUUCUCCUACCAGCAACAAAAGAGGCAGGUUUGAACCAAAUGGCACUCAGACUUGUGCCAGAGACAGAGAAACUGUUGGGUGUCGAAGAAGACUGAGGAUGACUACGGCUCAGUCAAGGAGCUUCUCCAUUGGAAAGCAACAAACUGCACACAAAGUGCCUGAAAAACUAUUAUUUCCUCAUGGAAACAAAGUAUACAGACUUAAAAUGACAUGGUUAAAAGUGUUGCGGUGUGUGUAUAAUAAGACAUUGUAUUUAGGAUGUGGAUUAUAUAUUUUCUUAAUAAUUCACAGGCAUUACACCCCACUAAUUCACAGGCAUUACACCCUUACUAAUUAAACAGGCAUCACACCCCCACUAAUUAAACAGGCAUUACACCCCCACUAAUUCACAGGCAUUACACCCCCACUAAUUCACAGGCAUUACACCCCCACUAAUUAAACAGGCAUUACACCCCCACUAAUUAAACAGGCAUUACACCCCCACUAAUUAAACAGGCAUUACACCCUCACUAAUUCACAGGCAUUACACCCUCACUAAUUCACAGGCAUUACACCCUCACUAAUUCACAGGCAUUACACCCUCACUAAUUCACAGGCAUUACACCCUCACUAAUUCACAGGCAUUACACCCUCACUAAUUCACAGGCAUUACACCUUCACUAAUUCACAGGCAUUACACCCCCACUAAUUCACAGGCAUUACAGCCCCACUAAUUAAACAGGCAUUACACCCUUACUAAUUCACAGGCAUUACACCCUUACUAAUUAAACAGGCAUUACACCCUCACUAAUUCACAGGCAUUACACCCCCACUAAUUAAACAGGCAUUACACCCCCACUAAUUAAACAGGCAUUACACCCCCACUAAUUAAAAAGGCAUUACACCCUCACUAAUUCACAGGCAUUACACCCCCACUAAUUCACAGGCAUUACACCCCCACUAAUUCACAGGCAUUACACCCUUACUAAUUAAACAGGCAUUUCACCCCCACUAAUUAAAUAGGCAUUACACCCCCACUAAUUCACAGGCAUUACACCCUCACUAAUUCACAGGCAUUACACCCUCACUAAUUCACAGGCAUUACACCCUCACUAAUUCACAGGCAUUACACCCUCACUAAUUAAACAGGCAUUACACCCCCACUAAUUAAACAGGCAUUACACCCCCACUAAUUAAACAGGCAUUACAACCUCACUAAUUCACAGACAUUACACCCCCACUAAUUAAACAGGCAUUACACCCCCACUAAUUCACAGGCAUUACACCCUCUCUAAUUCACAGGCAUUACACCCUCUCUAAUUCACAGGCAUUACACCCACUAAUUCACAGGCAUUACACCCACUAAUUCACAGGCAUUACACCCUCACUAAUUCACAGGCAUUACACCCCCACUAAUUCACAGGCAUUAGAACCUCACUAAUUCACAGGCAUUACACCCCCACUAAUUAAACAGGCAUUACCCUCACUAAUUAAUUGAUUCUGUAGCAAAAGUACAUUCUUCUGCCAAAAUCUUCAUUAACCAUU